GUCAGGAUGGCCGAGUGGUCUAAGGCGCCAGACUCAAGCUCUGGUCCUCGAAAGAGGGCGUGGGUUCAAAUCCCACUUCUGAGA
Corchorus capsularis is the source of this 84-nucleotide transfer RNA. It matches the Rfam family "tRNA". From Rfam's summary of the family: Transfer RNA (tRNA) molecules are approximately 80 nucleotides in length. Their secondary structure includes four short double-helical elements and three loops (D, anti-codon, and T loops). NCBI's taxonomy places the organism in Eukaryota, Viridiplantae, Streptophyta, Magnoliopsida, Malvales, Malvaceae. The record is from Rfam.